RNAcentral lists this transfer RNA (77 nucleotides) under Coriobacteriaceae bacterium. Its description in RNAcentral is "tRNA-Ile". It matches the Rfam family "tRNA". Rfam says of the family: Transfer RNA (tRNA) molecules are approximately 80 nucleotides in length. Their secondary structure includes four short double-helical elements and three loops (D, anti-codon, and T loops). The record is from RNAcentral. Lineage: Bacteria; Bacillati; Actinomycetota; Coriobacteriia; Coriobacteriales; Coriobacteriaceae. RNAcentral also lists the same sequence under 3 other names.
GGGCCUUUAGCUCAGUUGGCUAGAGCGCACGACUGAUAAUCGUGAGGUCACAAGUUCGAAUCUUGUAAGGCCCACCA